Molecule: long non-coding RNA, 215 nt
Filed under: Panax ginseng (ginseng)
Lineage: Eukaryota; Viridiplantae; Streptophyta; Magnoliopsida; Apiales; Araliaceae
Description: long non-coding RNA (PGIN_LNC004090)
Source: RNAcentral
AACAAGUUCAUUCUCUUUUGAUUCUUCAAUCGAUCCCACCGCCUAGCUUCGCUCGCCUCUUAUUUCCUCCAUCACAAGUUCAUGUCCCUUUUCUCUCUCCUCUUUGUUCUAUCCUCUAUCUCAUACAUCUAUCCUCUGAAAUUGAUUUUCAUUUUCUAGGGUAAUUUUUUUCUUCUGCUGCUCUCUUUCAAUUCGGUAAGACAUCUAAUAUCAGU